GAAUUAGAGGGUAGUGAAAAGGCAAUGGAACAUACUCUUAAGGAGGGGAUCGUUGGGGAGGCUGCUCCAUUGAAAAAAAGCAUUGCUCCCAAGAGUCCUGAAAAAGAGAGUACAGAUGAUGGUGGGGCAGGAGUAACAGAGUACAAUGAUGCAAACUAUUGGAGAGUAGACCAAGAAGUUGCAGUAUUGGAGUAACUGCAUGUGAAAAUUUGUUGUUCUUCAUUUGUACCUGGAAAUCAGCGCUGAUUGUCUGGAUACCCAUUUUCAGUUGGUGAGAUUUGUCAGUUGUGUACAGUAGAAUUCUCUUCUGUUUGGGAUCAAACAAUAGGCUAAUAGAAUGGUUGUAAUUGAUUAUUUGCUGUUACACUUUUUGAUGUUUUAUUAUUGUCUCGUAUUUUUUCAAUUAUCA
RNAcentral lists this unclassified non-coding RNA (409 nucleotides) under Hevea brasiliensis (rubber tree). Lineage: Eukaryota; Viridiplantae; Streptophyta; Magnoliopsida; Malpighiales; Euphorbiaceae. The record is from RNAcentral.